CUGUUCCCCGUCAAAGAGCUGUAGGAGGGCGAGUUAAAGAGUUAAAAAGUGACAGAGGUUGUCAAACUUUACUCUACCCCAAGGGCCAAGAGAUGCUCCUGACUGCCUCUUACAAGAAAUUUGCAGACACGUGCACUUGGGUUUGACUCACUUAACAUGUCAAGACAUCAGAUCUUCACGUCAUGAGCAAGGGGCACAAGCCUGUAGCUCUAGAAAUCACAAAAGGACUGGACCCUGUUCUUUAAAAGGCAAAGCAUGAGUCUAACACAAAACCACAGAGAGGAUCCAGCGGACUUCACGGGUGUAAUUUUGAAGAGUUCUAGGGAAUCAUUUUGUAAAAGACCCAGUUAAGUCAGUCAUAGGACCUGCGUUUGAGACGUGCCCUGUUGAUACCUGGAGGAAAGAAACGUCCUUAUCUCUGAAGACACAAGACUUCAGAGAUAGAUCUGAACAAACACCUCUUCCCUGGAGCAGGGUGAAGUGGAU
This 486-nucleotide long non-coding RNA is filed under the name Homo sapiens (human). Its description in RNAcentral is "HSALNT0116047". The record is from RNAcentral. Lineage: Eukaryota; Metazoa; Chordata; Mammalia; Primates; Hominidae.